This 497-nucleotide ribosomal RNA is filed under the name uncultured bacterium. RNAcentral describes it as "partial 16S ribosomal RNA". It matches the Rfam family "Bacterial small subunit ribosomal RNA", at positions 28 to 523 of the family's 1533-position model. The record is from RNAcentral.
GAUGAACGCUGGCGGCAGGCCUAACACAUGCAAGUCGAGCGCGAAAGUUCUUCGGAUUGAGUAAAGCGGCGGACGGGUGAGUAAUGCAUGGGAAUCUGCCUGGUAGUGGGGGACAACGUUUCGAAAGGAACGCUAAUACCGCAUACGCCCUACGGGGGAAAGGGGGGGAUCUUCGGACCUCUCGCUAUCAGAUGAGCCCAUGUCAGAUUAGCUUGUUGGUGAGGUAAAGGCUCACCAAGGCGACGAUCUGUAACUGGUCUGAGAGGAUGAUCAGUCACCGUGGAACUGAGACACGGUCCAGACUCCUACGGGAGGCAGCAGUGGGGAAUAUUGGAAAAUGGGCGAAAGCCUGGUCCAGCCAUGCCGCGUGUGUGCAGAAGGCCUUAGGGUUGUCAAGCACUUUCAGUGGGGAGAAAGGUUAUUCACCUAAUACGUGAGUAAAUUGAUGUUACCCACAGAAGAAGCACCGGCUAACUCCGUGCCAGCCGCCGCGGUAA